ACAUGUGAGUUCCUACACCUAACAAGAAAUAAGACAAAAGGAAAAAUCCUAUACAAUGACCUUUCAUUCACGUUUUUGCUGGAUUUUGUGUUUCGCCUUGGUUUUACUUCUAGGUGUAGGAUUAGCAAUAGGUGAUCCUCGUGAAAAAGUCUGCAUCGGGAGAUGCGAUAAGUCUCGAACGUGCGGUGUAGAUUGCAUUUUGGAUGGCUUUCAGAAAGGUGGCGCAUGUGCUGGAGAGAUAGAACAGUUUUCAUUUUGUUGUUGUAAUAUAUAAUGAAUGAAAUAUUGUAGCACCCUUUAAUACAUUCCAAAUAAAUAAAAAAGGUUAUCCCUCCUUUGUACCAAAAA
Long non-coding RNA from Cicer arietinum (chickpea), 348 nucleotides. RefSeq lists it as uncharacterized. Lineage: Eukaryota; Viridiplantae; Streptophyta; Magnoliopsida; Fabales; Fabaceae. The record is from RefSeq and is a predicted model, not a curated record.